AGGACAGACAGCAGACCAAUUCAAUACAGAGUCCAGUAUUUAAAUGUCUUCUGGCUUUGGACUAUUAUCCCUGCAUUGUUAAUAGAAAAUCUAUCUGGCAAAGUGGAACAACUCUGACGUUCUUCCUGUUCAUCCUUAGUUUGACAGGGAGUCUGGUGUUGAUUGUCCAAACGCAAUUCUUGUACUGCUGCUCCAAAUCCAGGAGUUGUGGAUGGACAUCAUGCUCCCCUCUCCCAGCGACUUCCCUGCUCAUCCACAGCACUGACGCAGACAUCAACACGCAUUCAAAUUGAUGGAUUAUGUCUAUUGUAUUAUCAGAACCUGAAAUGUUCUUGCUGAAGAGGUUUGCAGUGCCAAUUCCUGGAUUUAUAUUGUAAUAAAAUAGCAGGUAAACUGUCAAGAAUAA
Poecilia reticulata (guppy) is the source of this 406-nucleotide non-coding RNA. The record is from RefSeq and is a predicted model, not a curated record. NCBI's taxonomy places the organism in Eukaryota, Metazoa, Chordata, Actinopteri, Cyprinodontiformes, Poeciliidae.